CUUUAGAACUUGAUUGUUUUCACAGUCAAUGAACACGAAAAUAUUUGCAUAGCGGGACUAAAUCGUCGGGCUGGCUACGCUACUGACAAUAUAUUAUCAACAGUUACAUAAGAAUUUAUAACUUGAAUAUCCAAAAAGGCAAUUUAGGUGCGAACGGGACUCUUGAAAAGGACAUACAAGCACAUGCCAUUAAUUUAGAUAUUGUGUACUUAAACGUUACACAUAGUACUAUAUACUCAUGUGGACAUGGAAAACAUGCGGAAAGACAUUAAAUAAGAUAUCCUGCGGCAAGGAUAUUUCACCUCUGAGAUCGGGAAUGUUGACAGGGUGGGUUGGCUAACUAACCCUUCUACCGUGCUCCCAUCCUCGUCCCCAGGGCCUCUCGGCCGCGCGUCCUCCAUAGGCCCUGAGACACACGGAACCGGAAGUGCAAGAAAACUUGCAGUAGUUUCUAAGGCACAUACUGUUGUAUUGGGACGCUUUACUGAACCGUAACAAUUUUCACAGUGAAGUAUUACGACGAAACGAAGUAUUUGUG
Molecule: non-coding RNA, 538 nt
Organism: Paramuricea clavata
Lineage: Eukaryota; Metazoa; Cnidaria; Anthozoa; Malacalcyonacea; Plexauridae
Source: the annotation of a GenBank genome assembly